GUCCUGUUCCUGCGCUUCCCAAGCUGGGUAGAAACGGCGAGAGGCUGGGGGUUAGAAACGACAGGUUCCCGGCGGGCUGUGCCGGGGCUUCGCUGUGUGACCUUGGGCUGGCGUCUGGGCUCUCUGGGCCCUUGUUUCCGCGAGUUAAACGUAGGGGCGGGGGAGUUUCUCUGGCCCUGCCGCCUGUGACCUAAGGAGCCCCGUGACCUCUCCGACCCGAGCCCACCCCCGGCCCAGUCUGCGAGCAGCUCCGGGACAAGCACUCCCGGCGAAGACAUGUAGGCUCUCAGAGCCUGCGUUUCCCUCUGUAGAGCAGGCCUAGUUACUGUCUUCAGGGUGCACGCGUCUCCGUCCCCGACCCGCACCCUCACCGCCGGGGUAAGCUGAGCCAGGCCCAAGCGACAGCUGGGGUUGUCCGUGGGGCUGCAACCCAGGAGGAGGCCCCAACAAUAGAGCCCCAGAGGACGGAGACAAUGGGCCUCUCUGUCGGCCCAGCCGUCCCCGCCAUCCAAACAGAAGCAGCUGACGGAGGACUGCCGGGCUGGGAUCCCUGGGCUCCGCGGGGGCGGCUGUGUGCCAGGGCGGGGCACAAGGGAAGCGCACAGACGUUUGAAGAGGGGCCCCCGUGUGCCUGCCAUGAUUGCAUGAUGGCAUCUGAGCCUCACAACCUAAUCCUGAGAAAGGUGCCAUAAUCACCCCAACUUUAUCUUGAGGGAACUGAGGUUCGGGCCUGGAUUAAACCCAAACUCGGCCACCCGCCAGCAUAGUGGCUUUGGGCAGGUUGCUUCAGCCUUCUGGUCCUUCAUGUCUGCAUCUGAAAAUGAAGUACUGGGCCGGGUGCGGUGGCUCACGCCUGUAAUCCCAGCACUUUGGGAGGCCGAGGCGGGUGAAUCACCUGAGGUCAGGAGUUCGAGACCAUCCUGACCAACAUGGUGAAACCCCGUCUCUACUAAAAAUACAAAAAAUUAGCUGGGCGUGAUGAAGGGCGCCUGUAAUCCCAGCUACUCGGGAGGCUGGGGCAGGAGAAUCGCUUGAACCGGGGAGGGGAGGUUGCGGUGAGGCCGCGCCAUUGCAAUCCAGCCUGGGCGACAAGAGUGAGACUCCAUCUCAAAAAAAAAAAAAAGGAAGAAAAUGAAGUUCUGGUUGCACUUCAUUCUCUGGAUUUCAUGGGCAAGUCCAGGGAAUCAAGAGACAAUAAUGUUGAUUAUUAUUCAGAGACCAUCUGUCAUGUGCUAAGUUGAAGUCCAAAUGCUUUUUGCUUGUCGAACUCUUCUGACAGUCCUAGGAGGCAAACUAUUGUCAUCCCCAUUUUAUAGAUAAAGAAAUUGAGGCACAGAAUGGUGAAGUAACUCACUCAAAGGUCAGGGAUGUGGGCAGAUGUAAACCACAGAAGGAAUAAGUACUAUUUUAUAAAGUGACAGAGUGCAUGCAGUGGCCCUGUGGCAUUUGUGAGAGACCGACUUCCCCUCAGGGAACUUGCUCUGUAGUUUGGGAAGCCACACAGAUGAUCCUCUGGUUGGGAGAAUGAGGAUCUGGGCAGCCUGGACCUGAAGCUGAGGCCAAAGAGAGUGGGAUUGGUCUGAAUAAGUGGGUUUUUAAAUUUUUUUAAUUUUUAAAUUAUUUUUUAAGAGACACAGCCUCACUAUAUUGCUAAGGCUGGUGUCUAACUCCUGGGCUCAAGCGAUCCUCCCACCUUGGCCUUCCAAAGUGUUGGGAUUACAGGCAUGAGUCACAAUGCCUGGCCAAGGGUUUUUAAAAUUGUGUCCUGGUAGCUAAAGAGUUAAGUGGUCUGCGGAGGCCCUGGAGCUUGUGAACACCUUCAAACCACCAUGAAAGCCUGGGCCAACCGGCCGCAUUAUCACGUGGGGAAGAAAUAAGUGUUAUGCACGCUGCUGUGUUUGGGGGCCUCUUUGUUGCAGUAUCCUAGUGUGUCUGCUCACUAAGACACAGCACUGGGGACACAGCUGCACAGAGCAGAUGAGUUCAGAAAGCCUUUGUCAAGCUAAUAGUUUAGUGGGAGAGACAAGCCUUAACCUAGGAAGGAAAAUUGUGAUUACAAAAUGUGGUAACUGCUGUGAAAGGCAUAGGCUGAGACUGUGAGAGAGAGAAUAAUGGGGUCCCUGAUUUGGACAGUGGUCAGGGAAGGCCCCUUUGAAGAAAUACAUUUUUUCACUUUUUAACCAUAUGUAUUUUAUUUUUAAAUGGCAUUUAAUGAAACAAGACACUGACUUAUUGAACAUUGUAUACUUAACUGUUUUUCCCCUUUCAUGCAAUAUUGAAAUAUAUUUCAACUUAAAACAAAUAAGAAAGUCCCAAAUAUAACACUUCUUUUGAAAAAUACAGGCACGGCUGGGCGCGGUGGCUCACGCCUGUAAUCCCAGCACUUUGGGAGGCCAAGAUGGGCGGAUCACCUGAGGUCAGGAGGUCAAGACCAGCCUGGCCAACAUGGCGAAAUCCCAUCUCUACUAAAAAGUACAAAAAUUAGCCAGGUGUGGUGGCAGGUGCCUGUAAUCCCAGCUACUCAGGAGGCCAAGGCAGGAGGAGCUUGAAUCCAGGGGCGGAAGUUGCAGUGAGCUGAGAUCACGCUACUGCGCUCCAGCCUGGGCAACAAGAGCAAGACUGUCACACAAAAAAAGAAAAAUACAGGCACGCAAAGGAUAUUACAGAAAUGCACCAAACAUGAAUUAUUGGCACAGAUACAAUAUUUCAAAACACUAACUAAUAUUAGAUUGAGACAUCCUAUUACAACAUUAAAACCAUGCCCCUUUCAAUUCAAGUGAGCACCUCUAUUUCCAUUCCAAGACCCUGUGAUUUCAUACACAUUUAACACAACGGUAACAAUAACAGUAAUGCUAGCUAGUAUUUGUUAUGCCCUUAAUGAGUGCCAAGCUCAGCUAAAUAUGUAAAACAUGUUUUGUUUGUUUUAUUGGUGAAGAGAUGAGUUCUUAAACAACCAGAAGAUACUGCAGGUUCAAAGUCCCGGAGGCCAGAAGGAGCUUGCAUUCAAAUAAGAAAAUAUAUUUUCUCAAGGAAAUAUAAGUUGUAUUUCUAUGUAACUCUAUGCACCAGGAGGGCCCCAGCAAGAAAGAGAGGUCUCACUCCACAGGGAUUUCUGAAAAAAGUUUAAUGAACAGGCCAUUUACCUGAGAUGUGGGUGAGGUUGAGGGGACCAACAGGAGAUGGUGCAGCACCUGGGGUUGGCAACAGAGGGGAGGGAGCUCUCACCCCUAAACCUGAAGGGUCCAGGAGAGGGAGUGGUUUCCUGGAACCAGUGAGAAUAGCUAGUUAUGGGCCACGGGGAAGCCUGAGAGGAGGUUUGAGGCCACACAGUCACUGCCAAAACUAGGGGUACAUGGGGAAAAUACCCCAAAUUAGCUCUUCUCCCAGCCUCUGAUGCCCUGCUGGCACUUCCCAUUGGCUGGAUCGAACUGGAACCCCAAGAUCAAGGAAUCCUCUGUGAUGGCAUCCAUGAGGGUCCACUUCGUCGGGGAGCACCGAGCAG
This 3502-nucleotide long non-coding RNA is filed under the name Homo sapiens (human). Its description in RNAcentral is "non-protein coding HDAC11-AS1:6". The stretch from base 833 to 949 matches the Rfam family "Metazoan signal recognition particle RNA". The record is from RNAcentral. Lineage: Eukaryota; Metazoa; Chordata; Mammalia; Primates; Hominidae.